This 253-nucleotide ribosomal RNA is filed under the name uncultured bacterium. RNAcentral describes it as "partial 16S ribosomal RNA". It matches the Rfam family "Bacterial small subunit ribosomal RNA", at positions 524 to 776 of the family's 1533-position model. The record is from RNAcentral.
UACGGAGGGAGCUAGCGUUGUUCGGAAUUACUGGGCGUAAAGCGCGCGUAGGCGGCUUUGUAAGUUAGAGGUGAAAGCCCGGGGCUCAACCCCGGAACAGCCUUUAAGACUGCAUCGCUAGAAUCCGGGAGAGGUGAGUGGAAUUCCGAGUGUAGAGGUGAAAUUCGUAGAUAUUCGCAAGAACACCAGUGGCGAAGGCGGCUCACUGGCCCGAUACUGACGCUGAGGUGCGAAAGCGUGGGGAGCAAACAGG